AUAACAUGCCUGAAAAUAAGGGUUAUUCUGAUGGAGUAGAAAAUAUAGUUGAAUGCUAUUGUUAUUA
This 67-nucleotide transfer RNA is filed under the name Anurida maritima. RNAcentral's name for it is "tRNA-Ile". Lineage: Eukaryota; Metazoa; Arthropoda; Collembola; Poduromorpha; Neanuridae. The record is from RNAcentral.